Molecule: ribosomal RNA, 440 nt
Filed under: uncultured bacterium
Lineage: Bacteria
Description: partial 16S ribosomal RNA
Rfam family: Bacterial small subunit ribosomal RNA
Source: RNAcentral
CCUACGGGCGGCAGCAGUGGGGAAUAUUGCACAAUGGGGGAAACCCUGAUGCAGCGACGCCGCGUGAGUGAGGAAGUAUUUCGGUAUGUAAAGCUCUAUCAGCAGGGAAGAAAAUGACGGUACCUGACUAAGAAGCCCCGGCUAACUACGUGCCAGCAGCCGCGGUAAUACGGAGGGGGCAAGCGUUAUCCGGAUUUACUGGGUGUAAAGGGAGCGUAGACGGUUAAUCAAGUCAGAAGUGAAAACCCAGGGCUCAACCUUGGGACUGCUUUUGAAACUGAGUAGCUAGAGGGCAGGAGAGGUGAGCGGAAUUCUGAGUGGAGCGGUGAAAUGCGUAGAUAAUAGGAGGAACACCAGGGGCGAAGGCGGCUUACGGGACUGUAACUGACGUUGAGGCUCGAAAGCGUGGGGAGCAAACAGGAUUAGAUACCCCAGUAGUC